AUGGAUCUGCGCGCCGUCUGCCACAACUGGCGCUCCGCCACUGACGAUCCCAGGAACAGCAUCUCUGAUUCCCGGUUCCGGCCUCGCCUAUGGAUCGUCCUCGACGAGGUCUUCGAGAGUGACACGCGCCGCCUCUUGGUCAACACCGCCACCGGCCGGUUCCUCCACAAGGAGCUCCCGCUGCUCCGUGACUACUAUGUCGUCACCACCAGUCCCCAUGGUUUAUUCGUCCUGGCCGACAGGAGCCCUCCUCACGCGGCUUGUGUCUUCAACCCUCUCACCGGUGAGAUCAUCCGUUUCACGGCGGCGACUGUGCCGCUCGAGGUUCAGGUCACCGCUGCCGUCUGCUUUGACUUCUCUUCGCCCUUGCUCACAUUGUACUGCCACUCGUGUUGCAAGAUGUACUACAUGACCAGUCCUCACAGCAGUUUUGACACCCUAGACCUAGAGUGCGCGCUUUUGGUUUAUAGUUUUUUCCGGAGGGCGGCCGGAGCUGGUUUGGUUGGUCCUUGGUGGGAUUUACUCAGAACAACUGGCAUGGCUCUCAAGAUCUACGAAGUGGGGCAGUCGCUUUGCGUUGAUCUGUUGAAGUUUUUCUCCGAUGAUCCUACUGAGAUGGGACUUGCAAACGAUGCCCGGUGUUUCCCAAUGGAAUUCCGUGGACAGAAGCUGGUCGCCAUCAAGGGACAACAUUUCUUCCAGGUUUUAAGAUUCGAGAGCGGCGAGCUUUUGUAUGUGAAGAGCAUCUUGAACCAUGCCAUCUUCAUUGGUCAUCAUAGGUGCCUUGUUGUGGAUGCUGAUAUGUUCCCAUUGAUUGAGGCAAACUGUAUCUACUACACCGAACACCACGGGUCGUCUGCUCACAUCUGGAAGUACAAUAUCAAGGACCGGAAAGCUGAGAGGAUCUCGGAAGCUGCCGAUUUUGUGAAGCGGGACAAGCAUUUUCUCCUCAUUGGCAACCGUCCUUUCACGAUCGUCCAGCUUCUGUCAAGCUACACCAUCAGCAUCCGGGAUUCUGAACUGGCCUUGCAGCAGACCACACAAGGCGCUGAUGAACUGCAUGACAUUUGA
This 1071-nucleotide ribosomal RNA is filed under the name Triticum aestivum (bread wheat). RNAcentral's name for it is "partial small subunit ribosomal RNA". The record is from RNAcentral. Lineage: Eukaryota; Viridiplantae; Streptophyta; Magnoliopsida; Poales; Poaceae.